RNAcentral lists this ribosomal RNA (253 nucleotides) under uncultured bacterium. Its description in RNAcentral is "partial 16S ribosomal RNA". It matches the Rfam family "Bacterial small subunit ribosomal RNA", at positions 524 to 776 of the family's 1533-position model. The record is from RNAcentral.
UACGAAGGGUGCAAACGUUGCUCGGAAUUAUUGGGCGUAAAGCGCACGUAGGCGGCUAUCUAAGUCGGAUGUGAAAUCCCUCGGCUUAACCAAGGAAGUGCACCCGAAACUGGAUAGCUUGAGUACAGAAGAGGAUCGCGGAAUUCCCGGUGUAGAGGUGAAAUUCGUAGAUAUCUGGAGGAACACCGGUGGCGAAGGCGGCAUCCUGGACCGAUAUUGACGCUGAGGCGCGAAAGCCAGGGGAGCAAACGGG